Molecule: transfer RNA, 67 nt
Filed under: Ophioplocus japonicus
Lineage: Eukaryota; Metazoa; Echinodermata; Ophiuroidea; Amphilepidida; Ophiolepididae
Description: tRNA-Thr
Source: RNAcentral
GUCUUAGAAGCUGACAGCGACCUAUUUUGUAAGUAGGGGGAGGCCAGUUAAAUCCUGGUUUAAGACU